UACGUAGGAUGCAAGCGUUGUCCGGAUUUACUGGGCGUAAAGCGUGCGCAGGCGGUUCGUUAAGUCAGAUGUGAAAGCCCCGGGCUCAACCUGGGAACUGCAUUGGAAACUGCCCGGCUAGAGUGUUGGAGGGGGGACUGGAAUUCUCGGUGUAGCAGUGAAAUGCGUAGAUAUCGAGAGGAACACCAGUGGCGAAGGCGAGUCCCUGGACAACUACUGACACUGAGGCACGAAAGCUAGGGGAGCAAACAGG
Molecule: ribosomal RNA, 253 nt
Filed under: uncultured bacterium
Lineage: Bacteria
Description: partial 16S ribosomal RNA
Rfam family: Bacterial small subunit ribosomal RNA
Source: RNAcentral